Long non-coding RNA from Rhinolophus ferrumequinum (greater horseshoe bat), 2819 nucleotides. RefSeq lists it as uncharacterized. The transcript is spliced from 3 exons. The record is from RefSeq and is a predicted model, not a curated record. Lineage: Eukaryota; Metazoa; Chordata; Mammalia; Chiroptera; Rhinolophidae.
ACUCAGGGUUCAGGGUUGGGGCGACGAGAGGCCGCGCCUGUCACUGGGCUCCAGACGGGCUCCGGCUCCACAAAGCGCAGGGCGGAGGCGGCCGGGGUGCUCGGCGUGUGACCGCGGCGGGGCCGCGCGGGCGCAGGAUGCGGGAGGCGCGGGGCUGGGGCCACCGCUGCCACCGGGGGAGGAGGCUGGAGCGCGGGGCUCUGAGCCCGGCGCGGCCGCGGGCGGCUGCAAAAGACGGCCUGGAUCGCCGCGCUGCCCGCCGGCCCCGCACUCCGGCCCCCACCCGGGGCUCUGCCGGGCUCACGCGGGAGCCUCACGAGACCCGGCGCUGGUAGGUCGGUUCCCUCCUUCCGAACAGGAGUCAAUCCCGGCAGCAAAGCACAGAAACUUCCUACCGCGGCGAGAUUCAAAGGAGAUGUCUGCCAGGGCGCGGAAAAGAAGCAAGCUCUCCUCUAGUCCGGAGAAGAGUGACCUCUGUUACUCGACAAAAGUAUCGUCCUUCUGAAAUACACGCAUCCGGGGUUACGUGUAAGACAUCUCCGCCAGUGAAAUGGAGGAAUGAGGCUGCCCUGCCCUCAAGGAGCUCCAAGACAGACAGACGAGGAAGCUGAGGCACAGGUGGUUCAGUAAGCAGACCAAGGUCACCCAACUCCUCAGAAGCAAAGACAGAAUGCCAGCCCAGGCUCCAGAAUCCAUGCCCUGCAUGGCCACACUCUGUAAAAUGGACAGGAGUCUCCAGCUUAACGAUUUUCGGUCCUGGUACCAUUAUCUGUUGGCCCCAACGUCAAAUCACCAAGUCCUCAGUAUCCUUCCGAAGAAAAGGCUUUCAGUACCCUCCUUCCUUGCCCAUUCCAGUGCUGGUCCCAGGCCACGCCCUCACCCCUCCUUCCUGCCAGCUAGCCUCGGAAGCACCUCCCCCACCCAGCCAUUUACAAGUCUCUGCAAGGAAUUUUUCAAAGUCAGAGGUUUCAUCAUGAGUCCCAUACCAUCCUGCUCUCAGCCCCUACCUACGAAUGGCUCUCUGACCUAUUCAGGCUGGUGUUUACAUCCCUCAGCCCUGAAUUCCAGGCCCUCCAGGAAGGACCCUGUCCUGUCUGCCUUGCCAACCAGAUGCCCAGGAAUGCCACUGGCCCAUGCUGCAACUGUGUGGACACCAGACUCGGGUAUCUCUUCUACUACUCUCUACAGCCUACCCAAAAUGCCUCUAGUUUACAUCAAACCCAAGUUCAAAAUGAGAUACGUUCCUCCCACUCCAAAAUGAGAUUUCCCUGACCAUUCUCUCCCAUUCAUUUGGCGUUUAUGAGUGUAAGUAUAAGGUCUCAUGUUCUGAUAUGAGUCUGAUAAGAGUCCAUAUUCUCUGAAAAGACAGGACUUGUGUCUUACACCACUUUGCCUCCCUACAGAAUGAGGCAGUUGGAGCUCCCAAGGGCCUGGGCUGGGGCGGUCACAGUGGAAAUAGCCUGUGAAAAGUCAAAGGGUCCAUUUUGAACUCUGAUAACAGAGUUGACUUUCUUGGCUCCAUGACAGCAAAUGCUCCUGAUUUUCCUCGUAUCACCUGGCUUAAUUCUCUCUCUAUUCAACUUCUAAAUGUUGGAGUCUUCCCAACGCUUUGUUCUAGGCUUUCUGUUCUCCAAACUCCCUCCCAAUCUAUCUCCCACUGCACCCUUGGCUCUAAGUAUCAAUCAAGAUUCUCAUUUCUAAGGCUAAAUCUAUGGCCCAAGCACAUGGGAACACUCGCUUGAAUGUCUCAUAGACAUUUCAAACUAUCUGCUUCCAGAAAUAUGAAUUGGACAUCUGGUGGUGAACACAGACCACUUCAGGCAAUGUAUUUCACUGACUAUAUGCUAUCAAGCGCAAAGCACCAUUGCCUCCACUUUGUAAAAAAAGGAAGUAAAAGCUUCAUGUGGCCUGCACUGUUACUUCCCUAUGGAAAGCCACAAGGCCUCAAAACUGGUAAAACAUCUGCUUCUCAGAGACCAGCCUUUACCUUGUGGUUUACCAGAAAUGGAGUAGCCUUUAAAACCGAAAAAAGUCAACCCACUCAGAGCAGUCAAUGAUUAGAAUAGGUCAAUAUGUGGAACAGGUUUCUGAGGCUGUAGUCUCCUUUCUCUGUUAAUUUGUCUCUCUUCAAAUGAAGACCUUGACGUUUUUAAGACUUUAAUUUAAUAAUUAACACUAUCAACUUAAAAAUGGACUGGUAUAGGCAGACCUCAGAGAUGUUGUGGAUUUGGUUCCAGGCUACUGCAAUAAAGCGAGUAUUGUAAUAAGCAAGUAGUAAUCUUUUUGCUGUUGGAGGGUCUUGCCUUCGAUUUGUAAAAAACGCAACAAAGCGAAGCACAAGAAAAUGAGGUGUGCCUGUCCUGUAAGCUUUUAAAUGACAGUUCAUAGACACGGUCUGUUUCUUCAGCCUCCUAGUAGUGGAGCUGAAAUCCAGCAUUCCCAGUGCUGAAAUUCAAGGCCUCAUGAAUUACUUCUAUGUCCCUUAGCUCCACUGUCCUUGACGGUGUCCAGAUACUAGGAGGCUAGGAUGCCCAGGGUGAAGGAGAAAACAGACUGUGUUCCCUUAAAAGGCGGUAGGUACCUUGGGCUGGGUCACUGCUCCUAGUGCUAAGUAAGCAGUCCUGCUUUUUCACGCUCCACAGACCUGUAGCCGGCUGCGCUCAGGUGCACGAGCUGAGGGUCUUGGGGGUGUUGGCACCUGUUUCUCUGGCGCUGUUUUCAGUCAACUUCACCAUGUGUUCCUUGGGGGCACAAAACAAGUCCUUUUCUAUUUCUGAAUCCCCACAGCCAGAUGAGAUCCAAAUAUAAAUAUAAAUUUA